GUGUUCGCUUCAGCAGCACAUACACUAAAAUUGGAAUGAUACAGAGAAGAUUAGCAUGGCCC
RNAcentral lists this small nuclear RNA (62 nucleotides) under Capra hircus (goat). The record is from RNAcentral. Lineage: Eukaryota; Metazoa; Chordata; Mammalia; Artiodactyla; Bovidae.